GACGAACGCUGGCGGCGUGCUUAACACAUGCAAGUCGAACGGCAAGGCCCUGCUUUUGUGGGGUGCUCGAGUGGCGAACGGGUGAGUAACACGUGAGUAACCUGCCCUUGACUUUGGGAUAACUUCAGGAAACUGGGGCUAAUACCGGAUAGGAGCUCCUGCUGCAUUGUGGGGGUGGGAAAGUUUCGGCGGUUGGGGAUGGACUCGCGGCUUGUCAGCUUGUUGGAGGGGGAGUGGCUUACCAAGGCAUUGCCGGGUAGCCGGCCUGAGAGGGUGACCGGCCACAUUGGGACUGAGAUGAGGCCCAGACUCCUACGGGAGGCAACAGUGGGGUAUAGUACAUAAGGGGCGGAAGCCUGGUGUAGCAACGCCACGUGGGGGAUGACGGCCUUCGGUUUGUAAACCGCUUUCGCCUGUGACGAAGCGUGAGUGACGGUAAUGGGUAAAGAAGCACCGGCUAACUACGUG
Molecule: ribosomal RNA, 468 nt
Filed under: uncultured bacterium
Lineage: Bacteria
Description: partial 16S ribosomal RNA
Rfam family: Bacterial small subunit ribosomal RNA
Source: RNAcentral